GGGCUCUAACAGGGGAAAGCACGUUGCUAUACCAGCACAUAGCAAGGGCACCUAAUAUGGUCAAGACUACCUGGAGGAAGUUACCUUUGGUUGAGAUUUAAAAGAUAAAUAGGAGUUAGACAGAUGAAGAGGGAGGGGAGUAGAGUUUCAGUGAGAGGAACCAAGCUGUGGAGGACUUGGACGUAGAGAGGGUACGUACUACAGAAACUAGAAGGAGUUCAGUACGGCUGAGGCUUAGAGGAGGGAGGACAGGGCAAAGGAGAGACUUGCAGCUGAGAAGGGCAGGAGCAAACUUCAGAAGUUUACAUCCUAUCCUGAAAUCUUAGGAGAGCCUUUGAGACAUUCUAAAGAGGAGGGCAUGGUAAACCGUGCAUUCUAGAACAUAGCUAGUGUAACAGACAGCAGAAUGGAAAAGAAUCAGGGCCAAACACAAGGAGACCAGAAAACAGGCUCUUAUAGGAGCCCAGGAGAAAGAUAAUGACAGUUUACCAGAAUCCUCUAUGAACCAUCAUUUGCAGCAAGUACACUAAAUGUGGACACUCAUGCUUACAAUGACUGAGGCAGCAGACACCAUGAGACCCUGAGUCAUCUCUUAGUCUCUGUCUCUUCAACUGUCACCUAUGAGGGCCGCACACAAAACACAGUAUUGGGGGAAAGGCCCCAGCUUGCCUGCCUGGAAGACUUCUCUGACGGUGAUGCAAUGCAGAACAAAGGGAGUGUUUGCCGGAGUAAAUGGUGCAAAUUCAGCUGAGUUAAUAAGAUAACGCAGUGAAGGAGGAAAAGAAGGGAGACCAGCAGCUGCCAGUUUGGAGAAUCAAGAUUGGCCAGCAUUGUGAUAUCCCCAGAGACAAGACAAGAGGGCCAGUGAAAACCUACCAAGGCCAAUUAUGAGAACACAUGGGAGAGAGGUCCUGGGGUGCUGCAGAAAGAAAAUAGAGAAUAAAAGAAAUUUGGGGGCAAUCAUUCCUCAGGUGUGAAGUAUAAGUGAAGUCAACUCAUUUGUGGAUCAAUUUUUUUUCUACCUUCAUCUGUAUUGAUUUAUCACUUCUGUUAAGAGUCUACCCUGAAACCUAAUCACUGUACUUUCAGUAGGCUAAUCCUAGAUUCACCCUAGAGGUCAUUUUUAGUUACUCUUAAUCAUACUGUCUUCUAACAAGCCAAAUAAUUUCUCUCCAUCUUUGAUGUUUAUGCCGUUCAAAUAUUUGUGAAGCAUUAUCACAUCUCCCAUUAGUUGUUGCUGAGCUAGGCUUUAAGGAUUAAGCACAUUUAGAUCCUUUAAACCUAGUAAAUGCCUCAGAUCAAUCCUUCCAUUACUCUAACCAUUUCUGAGGCUCUUCUUGAUAGCAUCUUCAGAGUCUUUGUACAUCUCAACACUACUGAGACAUCUGUAGCUCAACUUGAUAUCCCCAAAAGAGCCUAACCAACAUCACAUCAUGACAUAUUUUUCUUAAAUCACCUGCAUCAAAAAAUCCCAAAAGUGGAUUAUUUAAAAUUAGAUUCUUGGGUCAUACAAUUAAACCUAGUGAAUCACUGAGAGAUGGGUUCAGAAUUUCAAAAUGGUAAAUUAACAAGAUACCCCAGAUUAUUCGUAGGCACCUAAAACUUGAGGACCAGCUGCAGCAAGUCAUUACCGAGAAAUCCUCAAUAUAAACUUUGAAUACCUUUUCUAUAUAGGCACAUAAGCCUGAAACUUUCAAAACAUUAUACACUAUUAUUUAUGACUGUCCCACAAGUGAAGUCAGCACUGAGAAAGCAGCAAGGAUCUCAGACAUGCAAGAGGAGACAAAUGUACCAGGCGCAUUACUCGUUCUUUUCUCCAUUGUACUGCAAUGCCCAGACAUUAUUUACUUCAAGUUCAUAGAAUUGGAUUAACCAUACCCUUGAUUUUUGGUACACGUUCAUCGUUAGUCCAUACAUGGCUCUUAUUUAUUUAUUUGC
Symphalangus syndactylus (siamang) is the source of this 1938-nucleotide long non-coding RNA. RefSeq lists it as uncharacterized. The record is from RefSeq and is a predicted model, not a curated record. Lineage: Eukaryota; Metazoa; Chordata; Mammalia; Primates; Hylobatidae.